AAGUCAUUGUCAACUCAGAAAUAAUGCUAGCAACCUUAAAUCUCAUUUGUUUAAUCAGUUCUUAUCCGAGAACACUUUUUGCACAAACUGUAACCAUCCUGUUGAGGAUAACCAACAUUUCUUUUUUAUUUGCCCUAAGUAUAAUGAUGUAAGACAGAUCCUUCUUGAUUCCAUUUACUCCAUUGUUGAUAAUGUUGACAUAAAUAUUGAAUUACUACUUUUUGGAAACAGAUUAUUUUCAUAUGAUAUGAAUAUUGCUAUUUUUAAAUCUGUUCAGAAAUAUAUCAGUGACACUCAACGUUUUGUUUGAAACUUACUUAAUUUUUGUUUCAUCUAGUUUUAUUUUUUAAAUUUUUUU
RNAcentral lists this long non-coding RNA (358 nucleotides) under Mytilus galloprovincialis (Mediterranean mussel). Lineage: Eukaryota; Metazoa; Mollusca; Bivalvia; Mytilida; Mytilidae. The record is from RNAcentral.